AUUGAACGCUGGCGGCAUGCCUUACACAUGCAAGUCGAACGGCAGCGCGGGGGCAACCCUGGCGGCGAGUGGCGAACGGGUGAGUAAUAUAUCGGAACGUACCCAAGAGUGGGGGAUAACGUAGCGAAAGUUACGCUAAUACCGCAUACGAUCUAAGGAUGAAAGCAGGGGACCGCAAGGCCUUGUGCUCCUGGAGCGGCCGAUAUCUGAUUAGCUAGUUGGUGGGGUAAAGGCCUACCAAGGCAUCGAUCAGUAGCUGGUCUGAGAGGACGACCAGCCACACUGGGACUGAGACACGGCCCAGACUCCUACGGGAGGCAGCAGUGGGGAAUUUUGGACAAUGGGGGGCAACCCUGAUCCAGCAAUGCCGCGUGAGUGAAGAAGGCCUCGG
Molecule: ribosomal RNA, 391 nt
Filed under: uncultured bacterium
Lineage: Bacteria
Description: bacterial SSU rRNA
Rfam family: Bacterial small subunit ribosomal RNA
Source: RNAcentral